Molecule: long non-coding RNA, 607 nt
Organism: Manis pentadactyla (Chinese pangolin)
Lineage: Eukaryota; Metazoa; Chordata; Mammalia; Pholidota; Manidae
Exons: 3
Source: RefSeq, a predicted model, not a curated record
ACGCAUGGCAGAUGACACUGAUGAAUGGCAGCGCUCCUCCCUCAGCCUGGGAACACAGAGGGUCCAAGCAGCUGCUUCUGCUCUGCCAGGGUCAGACACUGGCCAACUCUGGUGUGUCUUCCAGACAGCAUGGUUAGCCCCACCCCCCUCAGUCCCUGCCUGAGCUAGGGAGAGAAGAAAAGCCAGGCUUUAGUGCACGCUCAGCCUAGGGUUCCCCCGCCAGGAGCUAGAGUGAGAGGGACGUCCGCCCACCACUCCGUCCUCUCACUUCCUCCAGCAUGUCCAGCACCCAGCCCAGACUGCAUGCCAACUACAGACAGGAGACUCAGGUCCCUCAUCUGUGAAAUGCGCCUAAGGGUACACCCUGCACAAUGUUAUUAUGAGGAUUCAGUAUCCUGAACCUGUCUGUGCCUGGGAACUGCCAAGCUGCUUCUUAGAAUGACAAAUCUUGAGGUCUACUCCACACCACCAACUCAGCUCCAAGGGAAGGACCUGGGACCUGCAUUUUAAACGAGUGCUGCAGAACACUGUUUUGGAAAUCUUGGAUGGCCUGAGCGAUUCCAGCAGGGAAGAUGAGUGCCAGAGAAUUCAUUAUGUAAAUAAAAAU